CUAGUAUUUGUUUACAUACAGUGAAAGCUGAGACUGUUCGUUUAGGCUAGUUUAGGCUGUUUUUAUUUCUGAAAACAUGGCAACAGAAAUUGAGACAUUGGCAUUUUUCGAAGAGCAACACUAUGAUCGGUAUGAGUACUACAAUAUGAAUGAAUACUCGUGUCAUGCACGAGGGAAAGGAAGAACAAAAAGGGAGAUUGAACUGAACACCAAUCGCCAUUCCCCUGCUGGGCAUGAGCGGAAAAUUGCAGAAAAAUAUCAUAACAGCGAGAUAAAACGCAGAAGAACAAAAAGUUGUUCUUAAUGGAUACCCUACAGUGUUGAUGUUUGCACAACGGAAUCACGGACUGAAGAGAUGACCGUACUGUACCCUCCUUGAACUACUGGUUCAACUACUUGGUUUCCUGUCCCAAGAAUGGAGCUUGGAGACUGUGAUGCAUCUUUGAAUCCUUAAAUCCUGUUCCUGAGAAAAUGUCCUAUUCGUUUUCCGCUUCAUGUGACUAAUGUGGCCUGGAAUGGGCAGGUGUCACAAAGGUGUACAAGAACAGGCAAUAUGCAUGGGUGUAAUUUAAUCUAGCUGACAUACUUCCUGGAAUCUAGAAGUUUCUGACAAGGUCAAAUGAUUUGUCAAUAAAUAAAGAAUACAUUGAUAAAUUAA
Anguilla anguilla (European eel) is the source of this 658-nucleotide long non-coding RNA. RefSeq lists it as uncharacterized. NCBI's taxonomy places the organism in Eukaryota, Metazoa, Chordata, Actinopteri, Anguilliformes, Anguillidae. The transcript is spliced from 2 exons. The record is from RefSeq and is a predicted model, not a curated record.